Molecule: ribosomal RNA, 3121 nt
Filed under: Candidatus Uhrbacteria bacterium
Lineage: Bacteria; Candidatus Uhriibacteriota
Description: 23S ribosomal RNA
Rfam family: Bacterial large subunit ribosomal RNA
Source: RNAcentral
GCACACUACGGGCGUAUGGUGGAUGCCUCGACACCAAUGAGCGAAGAAGGACGUCGGAGCCUGCGAAAAGCCUCGGGGAGGUGGCAACCAACCUUUGAUCCGGGGAUGUCCGAAUGGGGGAACCCAUCUAGUGCCUUUAUGGUCCUAGAUACCCAUGCCUGAAUAUAUAGGGUAUGAGGAGUGCACCGAGCGAACUGAAACAUCUUAGUAGCUCGAGGAAGAGAAAAAAAGGUCGGCUUGAAUGGCCGGUGCUGAUAGUGUGGUGGUAACAUCGCGCUUGAUCAUCGACUCUUCUGGUCGGCGUAUUCCCUGAGUAGUGGCGAGCGAAACGGGAACAGUCCAAACCUUUAGAGUUCCUUCCGCAAGGGAGGAAGGUUCACAAGACCGGAUAUUCUAGAGGGGUUGCGAGUUUGCAACGUCUAAAGCUUGUGACUUUAGGAGUAAAGCGCAUGUUUGACCUCUCCCCCUUACUCCCCCUCUCCUUAAUAAGGAGAGAGGGUCGGGGGGUGUGGUCGGACCAGCUGAUAGCCGAAGCGGCCUGGAACGGCCCACCACAGACGGCGAUUGUCCGGUAGGCGAAAUCAGCCCUCAAAAGCUUUACUGGUUGUAUUCUCAAGUACGGCGGGACUCGUGAAAUCCUGUCGGAAGCCGGGAGGACUAGCCUCCCAAGACUAAAUAUCAUUGGUGAUCGAUAGUGAAUCAGUACCGUGAGGGAAAGGUGAAAAGCACCCCGGUGAGGGGAAUGAAAUAGUAUCUGAAACCAUACGCUUACAAACAGUUGCGGCUCCGCAAGGAGUUGCAGCGUGCCUAUUGAAGAAUGAACCUACGAGUUGUUCCGGAUCGCUUAGAUCAAGGUCUUCAAGACCGACGUCGAAGUGAAAGCGAGCCUGCAAGGGCGUUGCCUUAUGAGAGUGUCAUGACCCCGCCGAAAGGCGGGGCCCGGACACUCUUGUUUGGCCGGUGAUCCGGAACAGACCCGAAGCCGGGUGAGCUACCCAUGACCAGGAUGAAGCGGCAGUAAAAUGCCGUGGAGGUCCGAACCCGUGAGCUGUGCAACACUCUGGGAUGAGUUGUGGGUAGAGGAGAAAUUCCAAUCGAACUCGGCGAUAGCUGGUUCUCCGCGAAAUAGCUUUUGGGCUAGCGUCGUCUGUUUCCCUGUGGUGGUAGAGCACUGAAUGGGACAACGUGGAGCAAUCCUAGUUGUUCCAACCAAACUCCGAAUGCCACAGGAUUAAAGGACGGCAGUCAGUACGUGGGGGCUAAGCUCCACGGAACGUGAGGGGAAGAACCCAGAUCGUCGGCUAAGGUCCCAAAAUCGCUGCUCAGUGUCAAAGGUAGUGUCCGAACUUCAACAACCAGGAGGUUGGCUUAGAAGCAGCCAUCCUUUAAAGAAAGCGUAACAGCUCACUGGUCGAGUUCGAGCGCGCCGAAAAUGUAUCGGGGCUUAAGCAGCGUACCGAAGCCGCGAAUUUUCGUCUCAGCGAUGAGGCGGGAGUGGUAGCGGAGCGUUCUGUCAUUGCCGAAGCGGGAGGGCGACCGACCGUGGAGAUGACAGAAGUGAGAAUGUAGGUAUAAGUAGCACAACAGCGGGUGAGAACCCCGCUCGCCGUAAACCCAAGGUUUCCUGGGCAACGCAGAUCGACCCAGGGUUAGUCGGGCCUAAGUCGAGGCCGAAAGGCGUAGAUGAUGGACAGCCGGUCAAUAUUCCGGCACGACAAUGCGAUUAUCCCGUCAAUGACGCGGGCGUAGAUUCCGUACGGUCUCAUGGUUAUGGCCGUGCCGCAAGGCGCAGGCAAGUUCGCAAGGACGAGCCAAUACGGGAAACGCGAACGCCGAGAAAAGUUGGCGGGUCACGUCGUAGUGUCCCCGUACCGUAAACCGACACAGGUGGGUGGGCAGCAAAUCUGCCAAGGCGCACGAGAGAACCCUUCGUUUAGGAACUCGGCAAAACAAUGGCCGUACCUUCGGUACAUGGCCUGCCCGGUCGCAAGAUCGGGCUGCAAUAAAUGACGUCAACCGACUGUUUACCAAAAACACAGGUCCCUGCGAAAGCGCAAGCUGAUGUAUAGGGGCUGAUGCCUGGCCAGUGUCAGAACGUUAAGGGGAGGGGUGCAAGCUCCGAUCCGAAGCGCUGAUGAACGCCGGCGGUAACUAUAACCGUCCUAAGGUAGCGAAAUUCCUUGUCGGGUAAGUUCCGACCUGCACGAAUGGCAUAACGAGUUGACGACUCUCUCAACGAGGGACUCGGCGAAAUUACAAGACGAGUAAAGAUGCUCGUUACUCAUCGUUAGACGAAAAGACCCCGUGAAGCUUUACUAUAGUUUGGCAUUGCCUGCACGUGGUGUGUGCUGAGAAUAGGUGGGAGACUUUGAAGUCCUGGCUCUGGCUGGGAUGGAGUCGCAAUAUGAGAUACCACCCUCGCGCCAUGUGCCGGCUCACCUGAUGACCUUAUCGGCCAUUGGGGACAGUGCCUGAUGGGUAGUUUAACUGGGGCGGUUGCCUCCUAAAAUGUAACGGAGGCGUUCACAAAGGUCGGCUAGGUUGGAAUGGAAACCCAACCAAUAGGGCAAACCCAUAUGCCGGCUUCACUGCAAGACCAACCAGUCGAGCAGACACGAAAGUGGGAGUUAGUGAUCCGACGAUCGCUUAUAGGCGCGUCGAAGCUCAACGGACAAAAGUUACUCCGGGGAUAACAGGCUGAUCUCCUCCAAGAGUCCACAUCGACGAGGAGGUUUGGCACCUCGAUGUCGGCUCAUCGCAUCCUGGGGCUGGAGAAGGUCCCAAGGGUUUGGCUGUUCGCCAAUUAAAGCGGUACGUGAGCUGGGUUCAGAACGUCGUGAGACAGUUCGGUCUCCUAUCUACGAUGAGCGUUGAAACUUGCGAAGUCUCUUCCCUAGUACGAGAGGACCGGGAAGGACGAACCUCUUGUGUACCGGCUAUUCCACCAGGUGUAGCGCCGGGUAGCGACGUUCGGUUUAGAUAAACGCUGAAAGCAUCUAAGCGUGAAGCUGUCUUCAAGAUCAGGUUUCGUUAUCAGGCUCCUGGGAGAUAACCAGGUUAAUAGGCGGUAGGUCGAAGCGCAGCAAUGCGUGUAGCCGAGCCGUCCUACGUGUCCGAGUGC